Molecule: unclassified non-coding RNA, 274 nt
Filed under: Helotiales sp.
Lineage: Eukaryota; Fungi; Ascomycota; Leotiomycetes; Helotiales
Description: partial contains internal transcribed spacer 1
Source: RNAcentral
AAGUCGUAACAAGGUUACCUUCUAGCAGCUCGCUACGGAGACCUUGCACCCCUAUAGGGAGGCAGCACGACAGUAAAUAAAGCUCGCCGCGUGCAAGUCGACCACGGUCGGCAACACAAUCGAACUGACGGGGACCUCCUAAAGCCUGCAGCACCAACCGUCCGGGGAAACUCGGCCGGGGCCCUCACGGGGUGGUAAGAGAGUGCAGGAUGUUACAAUGGACGAUCCGCAGCGAAUGCCCUACCGGCGGAAGCCCACGGGUGUCGUCCACAGA